GACGAACGCUGGCGGCGUGCUUUACACAUGCAAGUCGAGCGGAAAGGCCCUUCGGGGUACUCGAGCGGCGAACGGGUGAGUAACACGUGAGUAACCUGCCCUAGGCUUUGGGAUAACCCCGGGAAACCGGGGCUAAUACCGGAUAUGACCUGGUGCCGCAUGGUGUUGGGUGGAAAGUUUUUUCGGCCUGGGAUGGGCUCGCGGCCUAUCAGCUUGUUGGUGGGGUGAUGGCCUACCAAGGCGAUGACGGGUAGCCGGCCUGAGAGGGCGACCGGCCACGCUGGGACUGAGACACGGCCCAGACUCCUACGGGAGGCAGCAGUGGGGAAUAUUGCACAAUGGGCGGAAGCCUGAUGCAGCGACGCCGUGUGAGGGAUGAAGGCCUUCGGGUUGUAAACCUCUUUCAGCAGGGACGAAGCGUGAGUGACGGUACCUGCAGAAGAAGCGCCGGCCAACUACGUG
This 462-nucleotide ribosomal RNA is filed under the name uncultured bacterium. RNAcentral describes it as "partial 16S ribosomal RNA". It matches the Rfam family "Bacterial small subunit ribosomal RNA", at positions 28 to 507 of the family's 1533-position model. The record is from RNAcentral.